This is a non-coding RNA of Mycena rebaudengoi, 91 nucleotides long. NCBI's taxonomy places the organism in Eukaryota, Fungi, Basidiomycota, Agaricomycetes, Agaricales, Mycenaceae. The record is from the annotation of a GenBank genome assembly.
GCCCUGGUUGAUUAAUGGAAAUCACCCACACCUCUUACGCAAUGUUGAUGCAUUGAUAUGGGAGACGGAGGUUCGAAUCCUCCCCGGGGCA